RNAcentral lists this ribosomal RNA (506 nucleotides) under uncultured bacterium. RNAcentral's name for it is "partial 16S ribosomal RNA". It matches the Rfam family "Bacterial small subunit ribosomal RNA", at positions 28 to 523 of the family's 1533-position model. The record is from RNAcentral.
GAUGAACGCUAGCUACAGGCUUAACACAUGCAAGUCGAGGGGUAACGAGAGGGAAGCUUGCUUUCCUUGUCGACGACCGGCGCACGGGUGAGUAACGCGUAUCCAACCUGCCCCCAACUAGGGAAUAACCUUGCGAAAGUAAGACUAAUACCCUAUAAUUUCCUCAGAUGUCAUCUGACGAGGAAUAAAGAUUUAUCGGUUGUGGAUGGGGAUGCGUCUGGUUAGCUUGUUGGCGGGGUAACGGCCCACCAAGGCAACGAUCAGUAGGGGUUCUGAGAGGAAGGUCCCCCACAUUGGAACUGAGACACGGUCCAAACUCCUACGGGAGGCAGCAGUGAGGAAUAUUGGUCAAUGGGCGGAAGCCUGAACCAGCCAAGUAGCGUGCGGGAUGACGGCCCUAUGGGUUGUAAACUGCUUUUAUACAGGAAUAAAGUUAGCCACGUGUGGUUAUUUGUAGGUACUGUAUGAAUAAGGACCGGCUAAUUCCGUGCCAGCCGCCGCAGUAA